GCCUGCUGCAAGCAAAAUUCCCGGCGGUUCCUAUUCAAUACUAGUAUGUACUUUCAUUGUCUAGUGGCAGUUCAAGUGUCAUUGACCUUUUUUCAUGCCGGAUGGCAACUAUUACAGGGCCUAUCUAUUUUUUUUUACUGUCAAAUGAUUGUUCUCGGCCUGAACAUGCAUGUCAAUAAUAUUUGCCACUGGACAUCACGC
RNAcentral lists this long non-coding RNA (201 nucleotides) under Mytilus galloprovincialis (Mediterranean mussel). Lineage: Eukaryota; Metazoa; Mollusca; Bivalvia; Mytilida; Mytilidae. The record is from RNAcentral.